AGCGGCCGGUCUAAGUUCCUUGGAACAGGACGUCAUAGAGGGUGAGAAUCCCGUAUGCGACCGGCUGGCACCCCACACGUAGCUCCUUCGACGAGUCGAGUUGUUUGGGAAUGCAGCUCUAAAUGGGAGGUAAAUUUCUUCUAAAGCUAAAUACCGGCCAGAGACCGAUAGCGCACAAGUAGAGUGAUCGAAAGAUGAAAAGCACUUUGGAAAGAGAGUUAAAAAGCACGUGAAAUUGUUAAAAGGGAAGCGCUUGCAACCAGACUUGUCGACGGUGUUCCGCCGGUCUUCUGACCGGUCCACUCGUCGUCGGCAGGCCAGCAUCGUCUGGGGCCGCCGGAUAAAGGCUUGGGGAAUGUGGCUCCUCCGGGAGUGUUAUAGCCCCUCGCACAAUACGGCGCGCCUCGGGCGAGGUCCGCACUUCGGUAAGGAUGCUGGCGUAAUGGUCGUAAGCGGCCCGUCUUGAAACACGGACCAAGGAGUCGAUCAAUCGUGCGAGUGUUCGGGUGAAAAACCCUUGCGCGCAAUGAAAGUGAACGGAGGCGAGAACUUCGGUGCAUCGUCGACCGAUCCAGAUGUCUUCGGAUGGAUUUGAGUAAGAGCAUGGCUGAUCGGACCCGAAAGAUGGUGAACUAUGCCUGAAUAGGGUGAAGCCCGCUUUAACUGGGGUG
This 671-nucleotide ribosomal RNA is filed under the name Vermiconidia flagrans. RNAcentral describes it as "eukaryotic LSU rRNA". It matches the Rfam family "Eukaryotic large subunit ribosomal RNA", at positions 171 to 869 of the family's 3401-position model. Lineage: Eukaryota; Fungi; Ascomycota; Dothideomycetes; Mycosphaerellales; Extremaceae. The record is from RNAcentral.